Molecule: non-coding RNA, 208 nt
Organism: Pelobates cultripes (western spadefoot toad)
Lineage: Eukaryota; Metazoa; Chordata; Amphibia; Anura; Pelobatidae
Source: the annotation of a GenBank genome assembly
CAGCAAUAUAAAUCAGAGUCAUGGGAGCUGCAGUUCAGUUCUUGGUGUAUCAGAAAGGGUGAACAGUGAUUUAAAUGUUCUAACGGCAUUAAACUCAACAUUCAAAAUUACCAAUAAUGAAAACAAUUUUUAAAAAGGGUUACUGACUGCCUAAAUAAAAAAUGUUUAAAAAGUAAUAACCAAUUUUAUUUAUUUAUUUAUUUUUGCA